UCACUAAGGAUUACAAUGUUCCUCCAAUAAGAAUUACACUCUAAAAAUCAAAGAGUUACAGUGCCUAACCAAUAAGAAUUACACUAUAAAAUCAACUUAAACUACAGUGUAAAUCCAUCAAGAAUUACAGUGUAAAAACCCACUACAAAUUACAGUGUAAAUCCACUGAAAAUUGCAGUGAAAAUCCACUAAGGAGACAACACUUUGUUAACAAGGCCAUACAAAAGUACAAUUCAAGAGGGGCAGUACAAGAAUGUAAAUCUCUUUGCUACUAGAAGAGCUUAACCAAAGCAAGACAAAGGGUUGUUUAUGUUACAGCAGUAUUGUGCAUACAGAUUGGGCCAAGUUCAUGGUCAGUGAAAAUUACAUCAUGCAAAGAAACAAAAAGCCCCACCACGGGCUGCAAUCACAAAAUGAACCGGGGCUGAUGCUGCCUAAGAAUUGUGUAAAGAAACUAUAUGAUGACAGCUGAAUCUCAAAAAAAAAUCACAGGUAGAUGCUAUCAUAAUACCAUGGGAACAAAAAGAGGAUUUGACAUUAUGCAUCUGAAUGCAGGACAGACAAAAUUUAUAGACUGACCACACCCAUGAACUGGAACACUUGCUAAGAAUUACAGUGUGACUCCACUAAAAAUUACAUUGUAAUCCAAUAAAGAAUACAAUGCAAAUCCACUUAGAUCACAAAGGAUUACAAUGUAACUCCAAAUAAGAAUUACACUGUAAAAAUCAAGAGUUACAGUGCAAAAAACCAAUAAGAAUUACACUGUAAAUUCAACGAAAACUACAGUGUAAAUCCGCCAAGAAUUCCAGUGUAAAAACCGACUGAAAAUACAGUGUAAAUCCAUUAAAAACCCACUAAAAGUUCUAACUCAGGUGAAAACGCUAGCAAGCAGAGAAAAAUCCCAUCGAGUCCUUACACGAGUAGCUAAAAUAAGUCAUGUGCAAAAUACCGUAGUUGCCCUACCAAUCUUCCUGAGCAGCAGAAACAAACUCAAACGACCAUUUUAAUCUCCUCGUACACAAAACACCACCUAGCCCAUAGAUUCAGGGGAAUUGAUUGCAGCGACAACCACAGAGCGGUCAAAUAUAUACUUGGUACAAAUUUCAGCGGGAAUGGUAGAGGCGAAGUGAUUCAGGGGAAGUGAUUCUGCGCAUGACAACCAGACGAAUUCAAACAACUAAACGAACACAGAGCAAUCGAUCCUACAAAGACAAACCCUAAACUAGCUCACAAGACAUAUGAGAUUCGAUGCUAGUAACAACGCAACCACAAAUCUACACCACCAAAAAUCUCCGCGGGGAUUACCAGAUGGAAGAUCCCAAAGGGACUAGGCAGCAGAUCUGACGGACAUAACCGGGGGAAAUGGGCCGGGGCGGGAUCGGGGGCCAGCAGAUGCUGCAGACCUCCGGCAGGGGAAAAGGCUCGGAGCAGGAGGGCGCGGGGAAGCCAGACUCCUGACCACCACCCUAGUGAAUCGAGCGGAGAGGGAAGCUCCAAAUCGCCAUGGACCGAGAGAGCUCGCAAACGGGCAGGGGAAAGGCAGCUACAGAGCAAUGACCGGCGCGGGCCGCGGUACCCGAAAAAUGAGCGGACGCGAUAAGAACACAUCAGCUGAGAGGACGAAAAAAAAGAAACACGAAUCUGCAGACAGAGAACGGACGGCUCACAAAACGGAUGAAAG
This 1681-nucleotide ribosomal RNA is filed under the name Triticum aestivum (bread wheat). RNAcentral describes it as "partial small subunit ribosomal RNA". Lineage: Eukaryota; Viridiplantae; Streptophyta; Magnoliopsida; Poales; Poaceae. The record is from RNAcentral.